CCAGGGAAGCCCCAAUGAUAUUGUCUUUAAUUAUUAUUGUAUUAACCACUGUUGCUGUGGUUUUUAUUACUGUAAUUAAUUUGAGGUAUAGCCAGGCAAGGGAGCAUCAACUUACAAAUAUUGGAGUCUGAACAAGAGCAUGUUAGCAGGUCAAUGAGGGAAUGAGGGCUCAGCUCUCGUAGAGCUCACGUUCAUACACAAGUAGGCAUCCUAACAGUGCUUCCAACCCAGUAUCUAAUGGUCCUGGGCACACUCUGCCUUAGGGCCCAACAGUGCUGAAACACAGCAAAGCUGGUGCUGAGCAGACAGCGGAUGGGUUGCCUCUGGCACAGCAUGCACUAAUAGAGAGCACUGGUAGGCUGAGAGGAGGGGGGAGCAGAGCAAGGAUGCAUUAAUGAUGAACAUCCUGCAGGAAGGGGAGAGAUCAGGGAGAGAUUAGCCAAACUGCUGAUUGUGCAUAGGGAGGCCAGCUGUGAGAGGCUAAUGGAACAUUAGGAGAUGACAGAAAUCCAAAGACAGCCAGCUGUUACCUGGGAUGAUGGUGUCGAGUCAUCAGAUUCCAAACCACCACACAACAGACAGCCACAUCUGGAGGUGGAGUUAUGGACCUCAGCCCUGCAGGGUUCGCUGAGAGGGCAGGUAACACAGGCACGUGGGGAUGACGCUGCAAGAGACAGUGUGCUAAUUCAUCAGGUACUGUGAUGCUUUGCCUCUUUCCCUUUCCUGAGUGACAGGAAUCCCAAAGGACAGAAAAUGAGCCACAGGACUUAUAAUAAAUAGUUUUCAGUUGUUCUGUUCACUCUAGUCACAUGCUCCAUGCCAAGACCUAAAGUCUUCAAUGUUGAUCCAGAAGGAAAAUGAAGAAGUUUCUCUUGUCCCCGAAAUCAGGGCAAAUUAUCAUAUGCUUUUCAACAAUUUAAAGAAACAAUUAUCAAACUUUUGCUUGCCCCUUUGGGACUGACUUGUCAGAUACCUCUACCCCAAGCAUGACCACCUUCAUUAGACACAGUAAGUAACAUUUGCUGCUUAUUGGCUACCAGCAUCUGUUUAUUCCUCCCUGUGAGACCAUAAACACCUUUUGAAGAAAUAUCUAGUUCAUACUGGAUUUAGUUCAUGAAAACCAUAUCCACUUGCCUGGCCCUCAGCUGAGUAAAGAACAGUAUGUGAUCAAAGCUAGAAAAAGCUUCCAAGAGUAAGACAGCAUCUGAAGAUGAAAGACUAAAUCAAUGCUGUGGCUGUGAAAACUUUUCAUGAUAAACACACUUGAUUCAGCCUUCCAAGUUACUUCCAGCCUUGAAAGUAAGGGCAAGGAAGAUGGAAAUCUCUAUUAGCAAUCAUUAGAUGUUCGAUAUCUGUGCUUACUACAAUAUCAGCCAUGAAACCGAAGACCAGUUUGGUAACGUGUGGCAUUGGAUUCAUGGCAGCUACUGAGUUGCCUCUCCAUCAAAGCCCAGGUGCCUGGGGAGGAUGAAAAAAAAAGCCAAAAGUGAAGAACAUAAGUGAGAAAGUAGAAACAUUUUAAGAAAACAUGUUACCCACCAUCUCCCCGGACUAUGGAACGUUUGGUUUUAUGUGAAUUCUUUUUUCCUCCCUUCCUUCUUUUCUUCUGUUUUGAAAAACUGAAAAUGAAACAGAA
Molecule: long non-coding RNA, 1636 nt
Organism: Aethalodelphis obliquidens (Pacific white-sided dolphin)
Lineage: Eukaryota; Metazoa; Chordata; Mammalia; Artiodactyla; Delphinidae
Exons: 4
Source: RefSeq, a predicted model, not a curated record